UACGUAGGGGGUAAGCGUUGUCCGGAAUCAUUGGGCGUAAAGAGCGUGUAGGCGGCCAGAUAAGUCCGCUGUGAAAACUCGAGGCUCAACCUCGAGACGCCGGUGGAAACCGUAAGGCUAGAGUCCGGAAGAGGAGAGUGGAAUUCCUGGUGUAGCGGUGAAAUGCGCAGAUAUCAGGAAGAACACCCGUGGCGAAGGCGGCUCUCUGGGACGGUACUGACGCUGAGACGCGAAAGCGUGGGGAGCAAACAGG
RNAcentral lists this ribosomal RNA (253 nucleotides) under uncultured bacterium. RNAcentral describes it as "partial 16S ribosomal RNA". It matches the Rfam family "Bacterial small subunit ribosomal RNA", at positions 524 to 776 of the family's 1533-position model. The record is from RNAcentral.